RNAcentral lists this small RNA (3215 nucleotides) under Pan troglodytes (chimpanzee). RNAcentral's name for it is "retained intron". The record is from RNAcentral. Lineage: Eukaryota; Metazoa; Chordata; Mammalia; Primates; Hominidae.
UUCCAAGCGAACUGGCCAAUGAGAUCCCCGUGUGAGUAGAGCUCGGCGCCCCCCGCUCCCUCUCACUCCCACUCCUCCAUCCUUCCUGGUGGGGAGCAGAGUCCGGAGCCCCCGGGGAACUUUCCAUCCCUCGUGGUGGAGGAUGGGGGUCCGGCGCUAUUUGGCUGCAAGAGGCUGUUUCCUGCCUCAGAAGUGCAGUCGCCCCUCCCAGGGCACAGGCCGAGGGUCGCCCCACAGCCAACCCCCACCACUGAGGCUGUACACACCUGUGCGCAUAUGCAUGCAUGUCUGUGUCCGUGUGCACGUCCGCGUGUGUGAACAUGCAGCUGUGUCUGUAUGUGCGUGUCUAUGUAUAUGGAGUGGAUGUGCAAGUGUGUGUGAAUAUCCAGCUGUGUGUGUGCAUGGGUCCAUGUAUAUGUGUGUGUGUAUAUGUGGGGGGGACAUGUAGAUAUGCGUGUGUGACUGUGGCCGUGUGUGUGCAUGGCUCCAUGUAUGUGUGUGUAUAUGAGGGAGACACGGUGUGUGUCCGUGUGUGUGUGUGUGUGCACAUGGGUCCAUGUAUGUGUGUGUAUACGAGGGAGACACGCAGGUGUGUGUCCGAGUGUGUGUCCAUGGGUCCAUAUAUGUGUGUGUAUAUGAGGGAGACACACAGGUGUGGGUCCAAGUGUAUGUCCAUGUAUGCGUGUGCAUAUGUGGGGGAGACAGGUGUGUGUCCGAGUGUGUGCAUGGGUCCGUGUAUAUGCGUGUGUAUAUGGGGGGAUAUGUAGAUGUGUGUGUGUAUGAACAGGUGUAAGUGGGGAGCAUUCAGGUGUGUCCGUGUGUGUUCAUGUACGUGUGUGUGUGUGAACAUGGAGGUGUGUGUGUGUCCAUGUGUAGGUUUGGGUGCAUGCACACAUGCAUGUGUGUACUGGGGCAUCCAAGCCCCUGGUCUCCACUCCAUACCACCCUACGCCUACCUCCUCGAUCUCUGCGCCCAGCCUUGGCCGUGCUCCCCUGCUGUCUGCACAUGUGUGUCUGCACGUGGGUGUCUGCAUGUGGGUGUCUGUGCCCUCAAGUGUCUUGUGUCUGCACGUGGGUGUCUGCACCCUCACGUGUCUGCGCCCUCACGUGUCUCGUUUCCGCACGGUGUCUGCACAAGCAUGUGUAGGUGUCCCUGCUGGGCUCUUUGGUGGGCGGCCAAUGAUCCUCGAGGUCACGCAUGUCUUCUGUGGGUGCCUGCUCCUUGCACCCCACAGUGUUGAGAUGGGUUUGCAUUGGCCCUGCCUGUCCCCUGCUCACCCACCUCCCUCUCUUCCUGCUUCUAAGCCCCGAAACUCUGGAUUCCGGGGCCCUUCACAGGUGAGCACGUGGCAGCAGUGCCUGCAGACCCCUGGCUGGCCCAUCUGUCCUCCCGCCCCUCUCUCUGAUCUCUCUCUGCCAGGCUGCCCCUGUCUCCAUCCCUCUUCUCCCUCCCACUGUCGGUGUCUGCCCACCAGCCACCCCUGGGUCCCGUCACAGCCCUUGUGGCCUCUGCAGCUGGGGCCCUUGUCCUCCCGCCUCCCCCACCCUGUCCUGUUGCCACCUUCCUAGAGGCCCUGACCUGCCCUCUGCCCUCCAGCGAGAAGGCACUGCAGAGCAACCACUUUGAACUGAGCCUGCGCACUGAGGCCACGCAGGGGCUGGUGCUCUGGAGUGGCAAGGCCACGGAGCGGGCAGACUACGUGGCACUGGCCAUUGUGGACGGGCACCUGCAGCUGAGCUACAACCUGGGCUCCCAGCCCGUGGUGCUGCGUUCCACCGUGCCCGUCAACACCAACCGCUGGUUGCGGGUCGUGGCACAUAGGGAGCAGAGGGAAGGUUCCCUGCAGGUGGGCAAUGAGGCCCCUGUGACCGGCUCCUCCCCGCUGGGCGCCACGCAGCUGGACACUGAUGGAGCCCUGUGGCUUGGGGGCCUGCCGGAGCUGCCCGUGGGCCCAGCACUGCCCAAGGCCUACGGCACAGGCUUUGUGGGCUGCUUGCGGGACGUGGUGGUGGGCCAGCACCCGCUGCACCUGCUGGAGGACGCCGUCACCAAGCCAGAGCUGCGGCCCUGCCCCACCCCAUGAGCUGGCACCAGAGCCCCGCGCCCGCUGUAAUUAUUUUCUAUUUUUGUAAACUUGUCGCUUUUUGAUAUGAUUUUCUUGCCUGAGUGUUGGCCGGAGGGACUGCUGGCCCGGCCUCCCUUCCGUCCAGGCAGCCGUGCUGCGGACAGACCUAGUGCCGAGGGAUGGACAGGCGAGGUGGCAGCGUGGAGGGCUCAGCGUGGACGGCAGCCUCAGGACACACACCCCUGCCUCAAGGUGCUGAGCCCCCGCCUUGCACUGCGCCUGCCCCACGGUGUCCCCGCCGGGAAGCAGCCCCGGCUCCUGAAUCACCCUCGCUCCGUCAGGCAGGGCUCGUGUCCCAGAGAGGAAGGGGCUGCUGAGGUCUGAUGGGGCCCUUCCUCCGGGCGACCCCACAGGGCCUUUCCAAGCCCCCAUUUGAGCUGCUCCUUCCUGUGUGUGCUCUGGGCCCUGCCUUGGCCUCCUGCGCCAAUACUGUGACUUCGAAACAAUGUUACUGCUGGGCACAGCUCUGCGUUGCUCCCGUGCUGCCUCCGCCAGCCCCAGGCUGCUGAGGAGCAGAGGCCAGACCAGGGCCGAUCUGGGUGUCCUGACCCUCAGCUGGCCCUGCCCAGCCACCCUGGACAUGACCGUAUCCCUCUGCCACACCCCAGGCCCUGCGAGGGGCUAUCGAGAGGAGCUCACUGUGGGAUGGGGUUGACCUCUGCCGCCUGCCUGGGUAUCUGGGCCUGGCCACGGCUGUGUUCUUCAUGUGUUGAUUUUAUUUGACCCCUGGAGUGGUGGGUCUCAUCUUUCCCGUCUCGCCUGAGAGCGGCUGAGGGCUGCCUCACUGCAAAUCCUCCCCACAGCGUCAGUGAAAGUUGUCCUUGUCUCAGAAUGACCAGGGGCCAGCCAGUGUCUGACCAAGGUCAAGGGGCAGGUGCAGGGGUGGCAGGGAUGGCUCCGAAGCCAGAAAUGCCUUAAACUGCAACGUCCCGUCCCUUCCCCACCCCCAUCCCAUCCCCACCCCCAGCCCCAGCCCAGUCCUCCUAGGAGCAGAACCCGAUGAAGCGGGCGGCGGUGGGGCUGGGUGCCGUGUUACUAACUCUAGUACGUUUCUGUGUCAAUCGCUGUGAAAUAAAGUCUGAAAACUUU